GGGGGUGGUUGUGGCCCGGUGGCUGCCACGGUCUUCAAAACCGCUGGCCGGUCGCGCAGAGCGGGCGGCGGUGGGUUCGACUCCCAUCCAUCCCCGCC
This 98-nucleotide transfer RNA is filed under the name Thermoflexales bacterium. Its description in RNAcentral is "tRNA-Sec". It matches the Rfam family "Selenocysteine transfer RNA". The record is from RNAcentral. Lineage: Bacteria; Bacillati; Chloroflexota; Thermoflexia; Thermoflexales.